Long non-coding RNA from Herpailurus yagouaroundi (jaguarundi), 2624 nucleotides. RefSeq lists it as uncharacterized. The record is from RefSeq and is a predicted model, not a curated record. Lineage: Eukaryota; Metazoa; Chordata; Mammalia; Carnivora; Felidae. The transcript is spliced from 11 exons.
UGUUUCCCACAGUGUUUCCUCAUAACCUCUUUGGACUGAGCACCAGGGCUGUUUCCUAGUGAAGAAGGCCAAAUCACAAGAGAAGAAAAGAUUGAUCUUGAGUGCUGGGUAUUUUUCGCUCACCACAUUAGCUGCCAGUUUUCCAGGCUAUCCCCCCAGGACUGAGAUGAGGUGAGAGGUGGUUCAAUGAACGAGACAGAAAAUAUCAAUUAUUGAUGAGAAUAUGGAGCACUUGGAGUUCUUAUACACUGCUAGCUGGAGUGCCAAAUGAGUACAAGCUACUCUGCCAGUACCCUGCGAGCUGAACCUAAUCAACGAGUUGGCAAGUCUACUCCUAGGGGAAGCCUGCUGCCAGGUCACGUAGCCCCGUGGAGACGCCUGCAUGGUGAGGAACUGAGGCCUGCCCAAAACCACAGGAAUGAUCUUGGAUGUGGAUCUUCCAGCCCCAGAUGAAAACAUUGAAACUAAAGAAUGAAACACGUGCUGGUCAAAGUCACAGCUCUCUGAAGUAUCAGAGCUGCAACUUGAACCCAGUCUGUCUGGAUAAUUCCAGUAAGCCAGGCUCAGUCAAAACUUGAGGCAGGGGAAACAAAAGCAAAAAUGACUAUUGGGACCUCAUCAAGAUAAAACCUUCUGCACAGUGAUGGAAAUAAUCAACAAAACCAAAAGGUAACCGACGGGAUGGGAGAAGAUGACAUAUUGGAUAAAGGGUGGAAAUUCAGAGAUGAAAAGGCCAAGUUUCCUGUCCUCGAGAAAUUGCUGGUGUGAUCAGGUCGAGUUGUAAAAAUAUGAUCCACCAAGAACCAAGAUCCCCUGGAGAGGAAGCCAAUUUGCAGCCCUAAAAAGAAGCUAAAAUUGAACGCAUAUUAUAAUUCAGUGCAUUAUUGAAUGCAUGUAACGAGGAAAACCACGUUCAGAAAUGUGAGCCAAUUUGACUCAGAACCAUCAAGCCAUAUUACCACCAACCUCCAUGUCGUCCGACAAGCAUUUGAGUGGCUUCCCUGUACAAGAAAUUGGAAGCUCUAAUCUCUGCUUUCCGGGUCUAUAUUACACCGUGCCCUCUUUCCCCUGACAUGUGCCUGGAGACCCAAGUAUCAGAAAUCUUCCUAGAUGAUGCCAGCCUAUACUGAGAAAGGAUUCCUGUUGGAGCCAUUCCAAAUCCCAUUUCUCAGAGGACAAAAUAGAGACUCUGCUACUCUCUGAACACCCCUCUUACUGAGAACUGGCAACACCUAAUGUGGACAGAAGAAAGCUUACAUCCUUUGGAGGCAGCGCUGGAGUCUAGAAUUCGGAGAUCACAAACGUGGGUAAUGGAUAUCGGGGGCCAGGAGGUCAUCUUAUAUUGCUGAAAAAAGGGUAAGUUGCCUCACCCCACUCCAAUUUGGCAAUAUCUCUAAAAGUUUACAAUGUAUCUAUCCUUUGAUCAAGGGAUUCCAUUCCUAACCGUGUACCCCAUGGAGAGCACAUGUACAAAUAUAAGCUGGCAGAAAAGUAUGUGUCACAACAUUGUUUCUAAACACAGUAAAUGAUGGAAAAGAAACAGAAAUUUACUACUCUGAAGCACUGGUAAAAAUAUAGCCCAUCCAUGGAAUAAUAUGCUGCCAUUAAAAUAAGACACUUUUACAUUUACUGAAAUGGAAAGAUCUCCAGCAUGUAUUAAGUGGGAGAAACGGGAAGGAAGUGCAGAAAAAUUUGCAUACAAAUCCACCUGUGUGGGAAAGAAAAUGGACGGACUCUGAAAUCUAUUCACUGGCUGACUGUCUCUGGGGAGGAGAAUUGAGUGGAUAGGAGACAAGGGAGGGAUUCUUGUUUUUUGCCUUUUUAUACCUUUGUACUUUUGUAUUAUGUGCCUGUAUUACCUAAUUAUAAGCAACCAAUCUAACAAACAUGAAUGAACAGCCCAGAGAAACUUAGGAAGUGAUGUGAGCAACGGAAAAGAUCCCAGGAUUUAUCAUCAAAUGGGGUCUGAGUUGAAAUCCUAGCUCUCACCCACUAUGGGCCCUUUGUUCUCUGAGUUCUGUAAAAUAUAAAUCUGUAAAAUCAAGAUCAUAAUGCCCAACAAGCAGCACUGUUGGAAGAAUGAGACAUAACAUCAAUGAAGUGCCUGGCUCAGUGAAGAGUAGCCGUCAUUAUUGAAUUCACAUUGGGGGAAAUUAAUAACCACAGAGAAGGCUAAAUCUAUUCCAAGUUACACAGGAAGUUUAACAGCAAAUUCUUUCCCAAGGGGCUGCUUCAGGCUUUGGCCUAUUCUCCAGAGCCUGCUGAAUAUGAGAGGAACUGUUUUCAGGGCGGGCCAGACCUGGGUCUGUUUGGCGGUGCUCCAAAGUUUCAGGUGCAAUAGGUUAGCGGCAACCGGUCCUCUUGUUUUCCUCAUUAUCAUUGUGAAGAAAUUAGCCCGCAGUUGUUCAAGCGGCGGGGGGGAAGCAUUCUGGGUGGUCUGGGGCCCCCUGAGAAGGCCUGCCACAUGAAGGCCGGGAUGCCCAAUUACAUUUGAAUUUCAGGUAAAUAACGAAUAACCUCGCAAUACAGACAUACCCCAAAUAGUACAGUACAGCUUGCCAUGCGGCGUACCUGGACUACAAAACCGUUUGUUGAUUAUCUGAAAUUCAGAUGUCACUAUGAGU